GGACAGAUGCAGGAGUGGUUGAACUGGCUUGUCUCGAAAACAAGUGUGCCUUCAUUGGUACCGAGGGUUCGAAUCCCUCUCUGUCCGCCA
Molecule: transfer RNA, 90 nt
Filed under: Candidatus Saccharibacteria bacterium 32-50-10
Lineage: Bacteria; Candidatus Saccharimonadota
Description: tRNA-Ser
Rfam family: tRNA
About the family: Transfer RNA (tRNA) molecules are approximately 80 nucleotides in length. Their secondary structure includes four short double-helical elements and three loops (D, anti-codon, and T loops). Further hydrogen bonds mediate the characteristic L-shaped molecular structure. tRNAs have two regions of fundamental functional importance: the anti-codon, which is responsible for specific mRNA codon recognition, and the 3' end, to which the tRNAs corresponding amino acid is attached (by aminoacyl-tRNA synthetases). tRNAs cope with the degeneracy of the genetic code in two manners: having more than one tRNA (with a specific anti-codon) for a particular amino acid; and 'wobble' base-pairing, i.e. permitting non-standard base-pairing at the 3rd anti-codon position.
Source: RNAcentral